CACGUAGGAGGCGAACGUUAUCCGGAUUUACUGGGCGUAAAGCGCGUGUAGGUGGUUCGGUAAGUAGGGCGUGAAAGCUCCCGGCUCAACUGGGAGAGGCCGUUCUAAACUGCCGAGCUAGAGGAUGGUAGAGGGAGGUGGAAUUCCGAGUGUAGCGGUGGAAUGCGCAGAUAUUCGGAGGAACACCAGUGGCGAAGGCGGCCUCCUGGACCAUUCCUGACACUCAGACGCGAAAGCUAGGGUAGCAAACGGGAUUAGAGACCCCGGUAGUCCUAGCCCUAAACGAUGUUGACUAGGCGUCGGUGGCUUAAUCGCCAUCGGUGUCCAAGCUAACGCGAUAAGUCAACCGCCUGGGGACUACGGCCGCAAGGUUAAAACUCAAAGGAAUUGACGGGUCCCCGCACAAGCAGCGGAGCGAGUGGUUUAAUUCGUUGCUACGCGAAGAACCUUACCUGGGUUUGACAUAGCAGUGGUAGGGAAGUGAAAACGGACCGACCCUUCGGGGAGCUGUUACAGGUGUUGCAUGGCU
RNAcentral lists this ribosomal RNA (529 nucleotides) under uncultured bacterium. RNAcentral's name for it is "bacterial SSU rRNA". It matches the Rfam family "Bacterial small subunit ribosomal RNA", at positions 524 to 1050 of the family's 1533-position model. The record is from RNAcentral.